Molecule: long non-coding RNA, 6689 nt
Organism: Chelonia mydas (Green sea turtle)
Lineage: Eukaryota; Metazoa; Chordata; Testudines; Cheloniidae
Exons: 2
Source: RefSeq, a predicted model, not a curated record
CCAAGAGAGAGUCGUGAUGCUGACAAACCCCCCAUGCUCAUUAAGAGACGAGGCACUGGCUUCCAAGAUACUAGCAGGUCUUUAGGGUACCUAUGACCUUGUAGUACUGAUGGUAUAAAAGAUAGGGUUGAGCAAGAACCUGUGGAGGACGGCUCUUUACCCAUGCAGCUGGUACCAAACAUUUAGCAUAGGAGAGAGUCGACUCAGAUUCCAUUGGUACCACAGGUAGCCGAGCGGUCUUUGUUGACUUUCGUGCUACCGGUACUCAGUGCUGCUCAGGGACAGGCUUAGAACUUUUUUCACCAGUGUCUCUGCCACUCUGGGUAUGGGUACCUGAAUUCAGUACCAUGUCUGUCUUAGACAACUGCCUCCUAUUCAUCUUUGUGGUACCAGCAUCACUCAGAGCCUGCAUGGAACUCCAUUGGGACCCGAGGUCUCCGUAGUCGUCAUCUGCAUUGGUGAUGAAGACUUUCUUGGAAAUUUACUCCUUACCACUUUCUGCUUCGAGGCAGAUGUUGAGGAUACCUCUAUGAAGGACUUCUGCACCUUAGAUGUACUAGUUGCUGCGGUGCCGCCACUCUCUUUAGGGAUCUCUAGUGACUGAGAUCUUGAUGUGAACAGGGCACUAAUGGUACUGGAAGUCUGUGUGCACAGGGGUCCUCCACUCCUGGAGCUGAAGCUGGUUGUUAAGUUUGCGCCAUCUGCGGGAGUUUUAACUUGAUUUCCCUAUUUUUUGUGGAUCUCCCCUUGAAGGAAGCACAGAUCUUGUACUUACUGGCGAUGAGUCUACCUCCCAAAUAGCAAACGCACACAGAGUGUCCAUCAUUGAUGGCAAUCACCUCACCACAGGAGAGACACCUUUUGAAUCCCAGCAAGCCUGGCAUUCCUGCAUAAUAUAACAAAGAGGACCCCUAGAAGGGAAAAAGCUCUUAACUAUUAUCUAAGUCUACCUAGCAAUAAAAUGUUGGGGGGUUUUUUUAGUUAAAGGAAAAGGGGAAAAAAGGGAAUUGUUCCAACAACUACAUACACUAUAAGGUAACUAACUAAUUAUCAAAUACUAUGGCAAACAGGCACACAGUAGACAUAGUCUCUGGCCAAAGGCGGUUGAGAAGGAACUGAGGCCUGUUGGCCUGUGCAGUCCCAUAUAGCCUCGGUGCAGGGCAUGAGGGUGUGUGGAUGCAUGCACAUGCCGAAUGGGCACUACUACCAAAAAUCUCUGAUCAAAGGUGCAGGCACACCUGAAGAGCACAUACAGGGAAACUACUCAAAGAAGAACAGCACUGGCUCCUGUUCCUCAUGGCCUACCUUUUGAAAAGCUGAGUGAAAGCUAAUGUCUGAACACAAGCUGAACAGCUCACUAUUCCUAACACAUCCAUCUACCAAACAAAAGCUUAUGCUCAAAUACAUUUGUUAGUCUCUAAGGUGCCACAAGUACUCCUUUUCUUUAGAGAACUACAGGAAUUCUAGACCAAAAAUGUAACUAAAUAUACCCAGAGUCAUUGAAGGUAGCUGCAGAAGUUGAAGUUUCACAAAACAAAGAUGAAGUUGCUGGUUAAGAAGCAGGGAGAGCUGAAACUAAAAAUGUUUUAAAUGAUUGCCCGCUUUAGUUACAGUAUUCUUAAACUUGUAUUCAUUGUAAACCACCAGAGGGUGCUAAUGAAUAAUCUCCUAUGCCAAAAAAAAACAGCUCUACCUUUUUGUUUUGGACUGUGGAUUGUUUUAAAACAAGAGGCAAUAUCAGGUUAGAAGCAAAUUAAGUCUUCUCCAUGAGACAGAGCAAUGUCCUAUUGUUAACUGCAGAAUAUAUACCAAGGUGUAUUGAAAUUAACACAUUUACUAGACACUGGGUCAGAUUUACUAACUCUCAGUAUCUGGGACACAUCUGAUUAUAUAUAGGACACAGAAUAUCAGGGUUGGAAGGGACCUCAGGAGGUCAUCUAGUCCAACCCCCUGCUCAAAGCAGGACCAAGCCCCAGUUUUUGCCCUAGAUUCCCUAAAUGGCCCCCUCAAGGAUUGAACUCACAACCCUGGGUUUAGCAGGCCAAUGCUCAAACCACUGAGCUAUCCCUCCCCCCUCUGAGUAGGGUGCCAGAAGAAAAGAUUGCAGCAUCUCACCAAGCCGACAGGAGGCACUCGUGGGAGUCUAGAUAAUACUUAGUCCUGCCUCAGUGCAUGGGACUAGACUAGAUGACCUAUCAAGGUCCCUUCCAGUCCUAUGAUCCCAUGAUUACUCUUGAAAGAGGAGGCUUUGACCUGACCUGACACACACACCUGACCUCCCUCUCCCGCAUCAACGAGCGAGCAGGAGUUUACAUUACAAUCAAUUAUGCAGCUCUUACCUGUUCUGACUCCUCAUCACUUAUGUUUGUCCUGCCCAACAUGGUAGCUUUAACAGUGGAGAGGAUUUUGAGUUGGGUGCUGAUGGUUGGGAUUCGCUCACAGACCUAAGAAGUCGGGAAGGUGCAUCAUUUUAGUUUUUAAACUCGAAACAAUUGAUAUCCCAUUUUUAAAGUAAAACUAAGAUUUUGCUUCACUCUACAGCAGUUUCUCUUUGCUGAUGGCUCAGGUACAAGCAUACAAUGUACAUGUAAACUACCUUGCAUGAUGUCACUGAAGACAUGUUUAUAUGAACACUUACUGCACGGCAAGUUGGGUUGGAAAUCUCCAGCGCUCCAGCAUGUUAUGCACUAACUCACCAUGUGGACCCUGCUGCCGCACACUGAAAGUUCCCUAGAGCGCGUUGAUGUACCAUGGUUUUAAACAGCACAACGUCAAAGUGCACACAGGAUCUUUUAGCAAGCAGCAGCAGGAACCACCCGGACAGUUAGUGCGCAGCACCCUGGAGCGCAGUAGAUUUAGAUUUGCUGUGCCCUAAGUGUUCUUGUAGACAUGACCUAAGGCACUGCAAUUUAAUUCCCAUUCCUUCCUGAUAAGCUUGGGUGACCAUUCUAGCAAUUCGCUAAAGCAGAAUUCACUUUUCCUUUGCCCAGUAUUCCUUCAAGAGUCUGUUUCAUCAGGAAUGGAGGCUGGGAUUCGGGGAUGUAUUGGUUUAUGCUAUUGCCAAUACCCUAUGACUUGAUAAGGCUGACUAUGUGGAUGGCCAAGGUGAUAUAGACAUUGCUAGACUGGUCUCUUGACAUUCAUGGAAUUUUCAAAGGCUCUCUUACAGGACACUGACAUGUCUUCUCCCAUCUGAAUAAAAGGACCUGAAGUCACAAAGUGGGAGUUGAAGAAAAUCAACAUUUCACAUACUUGGGCCUCAAGAUCCACAAAAGCUGGGAUAGGGAGCCAAGGGGAUCCACAGGUGACUCUCAUCCAAAAAUAAACUCAGUCUCCAGCCUUGAGCCAUACUGAAGGAGCAGGACUCAGGAAGGAAAGUGGGGAAAGAGUGAACAAUCGUAUCUGUUUAUAUUUCAUGCUUCCAGGAGCUGAAUGCUGAUGUAGGAUGCAGUGGAUUCUGGGGCAGUUUGAAAUUGGAGAAGCUCCCACCAAGGCAACCAGACCUCCUGGGACACUCUUUCACAGCUUCCAAAAGGCCUGGGGAGUCUUAUCACACUUUGUUGUACAGUUCCUGCAUCAGAAAAUGGCUAAAAUUGCAUGGUACAGUUCCACAUUUAUUGUCAACUUAUAGAGAAAAUUGGCAAAGUUCAAAAAUAAAAAGGUCUCUUUAACUGCCAGCCUUGCAAACCCUACCAGUGAUCUAAAAAUCAGGUUGUUCACACACCAACAGACGUAAUCCUGACCGCACCGAAAGGUGAAGGCAGGCACUGAAGGUCUACAACUGCACUACACCUGGGUCAGGUUGGGAUUCCUCGUAGCUUUCACAGCUCUGCUGUCUGCACCUCGCUACUAUGAUGAAUGAGAUUGUAAAAUGAAGAUUUCAAAGAAAACUUUAUUGAAACUAUUUUUUGGAUAAAAGCCACGCUGCCAGCUAGAAAGCUGGUCAGAAAACAAGAAAAACACCACAAAUGUGAGGGGGUGGGGAUGCAGCAUUUGUCUUCGUAAAAAAGAUUUAAUUAAUCUUCCCACCACUUCCAAUUAUUAACAAUAAAGCAACUCCUGCAUCGUUACUAUAUGCCUGCAAGUGACAUACCAUGACUAUUUGAUCACUUUUUCCAUUGCUUGCUGGUAACAAAACAAUAUUGCUGUUCCAUAAGAUUGUGCAGAAACUGUAUGAGGUGAAGCCAUAUCUUUACGAAAAACCCUUACAGAAUGUAACAUCUACUUUCUAUUUACAUGGGAGUUAAUUUCCUAAUUUGCCAGCCAAUAUACAACUGGGUAUAUUAGGCAUUGUACUUGAAUUACAAACAAUACAAAGCAGUGUAAAAAAUAUUGCAUUUUAAUUUGUUCCUACUUACAUGUAUGGAUAUUAGAAAGUAACUUCAAAGGCAUGUAUGGUACCACUUGUUGACUUAUCAAGUUUUUUGUGAACACAGUGAUUUUAUACCAAUUUUUAUUUAGGAUAGUGAACGCAUGUUAAAUUCACAAAUCCAACUGAUCUGACGAUCACCUUGGAAAGGUCCUCAAAGUUUUCUUAGCCUUUGUGCCCUUUCUACAUUGCAAGUUCUCCCAUCUUUAAUAUGAUGCUCAUUUUCCUCUGCUUAAAUUCAUAAGUGGAGAAUCCAUCACCACACUUCACCAGCAGAAGCAGCACAGAAUGCUGCUAUGAGCCACAGGCUAUAAACUGUGCACCUCUACAUAAACCAAACGUCUCAGAUGUGCUAAACAAAAUCUCAGGAGAUGCAGUUUUAUUGUUCCAAUUUAUUAUGAAGCCAAACAGUUAUUCAGCAAACAGCUCACCUACUCCACGGUCAUCAACUGUCGGAUUGUCAAUCCACCUUUGAGCUUGCUCAAUCUUGCCCUCCAAAUGAACAGCUGCCUUAACUGGCCUGGUGUUUGCUACUGCCCUGUUCGUUUUAGACUGUAAAUUCUGCAGUGAUGUAGCUACUUGCUUAGCCAGUACCCGGGCCUCUGGAGAGUCUCCUUUCCCACUGAAAAUCCAAAAAAGAUAGUUGCAGUCACACGCUCAACUGAAAUCAAUACAAAACAUUAUAUAUUUCUGAAAACAGAUUUAACUGUAAUACUCUCAUGAAUCAGUUCACUAUAACUAUGUUCAUUAUGUACAAAAACAGAAAUUAAGAAUAAUGACUUAUACAGGACUUUAUUUACGGGGUUAGAAAGACACCAAUGUACAGACUGUAGGGUAGCAAAAUCUGAAGAAAACCUUAUGUUAAAAGCACUAACUACAAAUGGAAAAAGUGGCAGAUUUAAUAUUAAAGACCACUGUUGACACCCACAUAAGUGUAACCUUCCUCUUCCACCCUGCACCUUCUUUUCAGAUCUGAUAUUGAAACACUUUCUUUAGCUAAGUAUUGAACUAAAGCUGACAGAUCCUUGUGGGACCAUUUUAAUGCUAUGCUUUUCUAAGCUUUAUCUGAUUUAGAACAUAGGCAUAACGAUUAAUGAUCCAAGUGCUUGAAAGAUCAUCUGAUAGUUUAGUAACUUUCUUAAAGGACCAGAGUUAUCAUUUGGGAAGGCAACUGUAUAAGUAAAUGCAUAAGUGCACCUUAGUUAGUAUUACAGACUGUGGGCAAAAUUCUGUGUUAUUCUGCAGCUCCUUUCUACUGCUUCGGUGGUGCAAAGAGGCCAGUUUCUAUCUACACCUUGCCAGCGGAGAAUUUUUAUAGCAGAGAUAGAUAUCUUCUUAUAGGGGGACCUCAUGCCAUCUGAUCUUCUGUAGUAGAGUACGGGACAGGAAGGAAUCCCUUGCUACAAGCUACUUGUGAAUCUGAAGUGUGAAGACUAUGAUAUUCUCUGUCCCAUGAAAAUGUUUUGCACCAUGCAGGAGGAAAACCCACAGUAUGAGACAUCCAUUCUCAACAGAACAGCUAACGACACUUUCAGGAUGCAAAUUUCUCUGUGUAACUACUUUGAAUUUCCUGAUCCAUCGAAUUCAUGCACUCAAACUGCAACUGCAAGAUGCUCGGAUACCACAAUGUGCGCAGUAUAGAUACAUACUGUCUUCGUAGAUCUGACAGUUUAGCUGUCAGAGCAGAGAUUUCUCCCAGGGAACGCAGAAUGUCAUCUCUGUCUUUGGGGUCCUCACACAGUUCUGCAAUUUUCCUGGCUUCGGCCAUAAUUCCCCGAAUUUGUUCUUCCCCUUCACUUCCCCCAUUAGGGUCUGCGAGCCAGUUCUUCAUAUAAAGGAAUAGGUACAAAUUAAGAUUAAGUCACCUACUUAUAUAAAAUCUUUUGAACACAGGCAUUUCACAAAAGAUUCUCAUAUUGAUAACAUACCCUGAUAUUCUAAUGGCUACUAGGUGUUUUGUUAUAUGAGGCAAGCCAUACUAAGUUAUGUACAUCUUAGCUACCAUUGUCAAGUCCCACUUACAUAUACUGUUUUCACAAGUUCACUUUAACUAGAUGCUGUUUAAGUAUUCACAAUUAUUUUAUACCUAUGUUUCCCACAAGUCCGAAUUUAUUUCUUUAUUUAUUUGACAAUGUAGAGUUCUUUUUAGGAAUCUUUCUAAAAAUGUUGUACAAUAGGAUGUUGGAUAAUAGUUCUUUUUUUAACACUGAAUUAAUGGAGUGCAUGACCUAAUAAUUGAAGAUGAAGUUUUCCUGUUAUGAAGAAGAUGCUACAUAUCCUUCCUCCAUUAUAGAGCUGAAUAAACUACCCUCUUGGUCAA